Molecule: long non-coding RNA, 237 nt
Filed under: Erythranthe guttata (spotted monkey flower)
Lineage: Eukaryota; Viridiplantae; Streptophyta; Magnoliopsida; Lamiales; Phrymaceae
Description: long non-coding RNA (EGUT_LNC000882)
Source: RNAcentral
UUGUUUAGUGGAUUGCUGUUCCUCUGUCUGUUCAGGUUGCUCUUCCUCCUCAUCACUGACAGCACAAAUCAAACUCAUUCCUCUUCUUCUCAAGGUAUUUGCACAUUCAUUAGCAUAAUGUCCAAAUCCUGAACAAGCCUUGCAUUUAAUGUGAUCUAAGUUAGGUGGUUCAGAAUUUGAACGAACAAAUGAAGAAUUUUUUAAAGUGUUCUGAGAAGAUGUUUGAGGAAAUGUUCU